Molecule: ribosomal RNA, 382 nt
Filed under: uncultured eukaryote
Lineage: Eukaryota
Description: SSU rRNA
Rfam family: Eukaryotic small subunit ribosomal RNA
Source: RNAcentral
AGCUCCAAUAGCGUAUAUUAAAGUUGUUGCGGUUAAAAAGCUCGUAGUUGGAUUUCUGUCAGUGAGUGAUGCUCCGCCCCUCGUGGUGAGUAGCCAUCAUGCCGCUGGCAUCUUCUUGGGGAGUGUAUCUGCACUUCACUGUGUGGUGCACAAGCCAGGACUUUUACUUUGAGGAAAUGAGAGUGUUUCAAGCAGGCGCACGCCGUGAAUACGUUAGCAUGGAAUAAUAGCAUCGGACCUCGCUCCAAAGCUGUUGGUUUCUUGGGUCGAGGUAAAGGUGAAUAGGGAUUGUUGGGGGCAUUCGUAUUUAACUGUCAGAGGUGGAAUUCUUGGAUUGCGUUACGACGAACUACUGCGAAAGCAUUUGCCAAAGAUGUUUUCA